Molecule: ribosomal RNA, 459 nt
Filed under: uncultured bacterium
Lineage: Bacteria
Description: partial 16S ribosomal RNA
Rfam family: Bacterial small subunit ribosomal RNA
Source: RNAcentral
CCUACGGGUGGCAGCAGUGAGGAAUAUUGGUCAAUGGGCGGGAGCCUGAACCAGCCAAGCCGCGUGAGGGAAGAAGGUACAGCGUAUCGUAAACCUCUUUUGUCAGGGAACAAAGGCGGGGACUAGUCCCCGGAUGAGGGUACCUGAAGAAACAGCAUCGGCUAACUCCGUGCCAGCAGCCGGGGUAAUACGGAGGAAGCGAGCGUUAUCCGGUUUUAUUUGGGUUAAAGGGUGCGCAGGCGCCCCGUUAAGUUUGCGGUAAAAGCCCGGGGAUCAACCCGGGGGAGCGGUGGAAACUGGGGGGCUGGAGUGGGAGAGAAGUACGCGGAAUGCGGGGUGUAGCGGUGAAAUGCUUAGAUAUCGCGAAGAACCCCGGUGGCGAAGGCAGCGUACCGGCUCCAAACUGACGCUGAGGCACGAAAGCGUGGGUAUCGAACAGGAUUAGAUACCCUUGUAGUC